Molecule: long non-coding RNA, 331 nt
Organism: Magallana angulata
Lineage: Eukaryota; Metazoa; Mollusca; Bivalvia; Ostreida; Ostreidae
Exons: 3
Source: RefSeq, a predicted model, not a curated record
GUAAAAUACUGCUGACUACAAGGAAUGUAACGACAAUUUCAUUUUCUGAACUGCUCGAUCGGACCAACAUGGACACGAACUGUCGGUUAAUUAACGGCCGUGCUGUGUGCCCGCCAGUGCAUUUUAUCACUCCAAGAAUGCGGGACCAGGAGUCCGAUGAAUAUACAAUCCCUCAUCGUUAAACCUCGACGAGCAUAACGAUUGACAGUGAACGGACACGCGUGUUAAUCCAACCCCUGGAUACUACCCUGUUAUGCACUUGAGUAUUCACCCCCUAGCAUAACCACAAACAUCAAUUUAUUCCCCGUCUCGUGAACAUUGUUCCAUCGUC